Long non-coding RNA from Macadamia integrifolia, 4770 nucleotides. RefSeq lists it as uncharacterized. The record is from RefSeq and is a predicted model, not a curated record. The transcript is spliced from 6 exons. Lineage: Eukaryota; Viridiplantae; Streptophyta; Magnoliopsida; Proteales; Proteaceae.
GUGUGGGGCCACAGUAGGGAUGUCUAAAGGGGAGAAGAUUGUGACACCCAAGAAUGUAAGUACCAGACCCACCUGGGAGAUUGGUGAGAUGUCUCCACUAAAAAUACAAUAAGUACUAGGGGAUUUGGGAGGUCAAUGAGGGUGUGUAAACUUUAGUCCCACAUCGCCUAGGGGGAGAUUACUGGGCUAGUUGAUAACCUCUAGCCUCCUUAACAUGGUACAAUGCUUUUUAAAGCCUUAAGGCCCAUGGGUCAAAGAGGACAAUAUUGUGAAAAGGUUAAUGGGGCCGGGGUGUUACACAUAAAGCUUCCACAAGAGAAAUUUUGGGUGGUCAAUUGAAGCUUUCCUCUUGCAUAAAGUGGUUUCCCCACCCCCCAUAUAUCUAAGUUGAACCGAAAAAGUAGUAUUGUCAAUGCGAACAUUAUGUUUUCAACUAGUCUACCCUUCCCAUAAAAAUAAGGAAAAUGAAGCCUAACUCUCCCCAUUUCAUCCAAAAGAAAAUUCUUUAUAUAUUAAUAUGGGGGAGAGCACUCUGUUCAACGGAGCAAACAAAUCAAUUAUUGGGGAGUAAGUUGAGUCAAUAACCUAGGGGGUUGAAUAGGUUAUGCUAGUGGAUUUAAAACCUUUCCGAUUUAAGGUUCCCAAAUGUGAUUGUAAAUUAAAGCCGUAGAGUAGAAAAAUAGACACAAUCAUACAACACCAAGGUUUAUAGUGGUUCAACUCAAUCCGAUUCUAGUCCACUCCCUACAAGUUCCACUUGUAAGGUAUUCCACUAGCUAUUCCCUUUUAGAACAGUAGGCAGGGAGAAAAACCUUUACAAACUCUUUUAAGGAUAAAAGUAUCCAUACAAUCUCUUUACAGGAUGAAAGGGUCUUUUACAAAUCUUUUGAGGAUAAGAGAGUCCUUACAAAUUUUUUGAGGAUAAGAGAAUCCUUACACAAAUCUAAGUACAAUCUAGACUAAUGUGAACUGAAAUUAAAGAGUGGAAUAAGAAAAGAGUCACCUCUUGUGUGGUGCAAUGAUGAAUGCAAGAAUGAGUAAGAAGCACAUUUCUAUAGUUUUCACUAGACUUGAUAAAUCAAUACUAAAGGUGGAAGACUUUGAGUAGACUUUUGAGUUUCACUUGUAAUAAUGGAGUUGACCAAUAGCUCAAGAAUUGUGUAAAUUUAUUUCACUUCCAAAUGCUCUUGAAAAGUUGCUCUAAUGCUUGGUAUUGAUUGUUAAUUAACUAAGAGCGUUAGUGGUAUUUAUAGGUGAGAUUGGGGGACAAAAAUAGGCAAGAAAUCUCCCUCAAACGGUCACUUAUUGGAUCUACAGGUCGACCGCCAUCGAUAGCCGAUCGACCUCCAAAAAAAGCCAUUACCAAAAAGCCGUUGGAGCCAGUUGUAAACCAGCCGGUCUUGUACCGGUCGACUGGACAGGUGCCAGUCGACCGUCCGUAGGCUCGGUCACUCUCAUUUUUGUUAGGGUUUGGAAAAACUGAGCUUUCAUCAAUAUUUGGGCCGUAACUUUCUUGUUUGACAUCAGAUUGGCCCGAUUCCAAGUGCGUUGGAUUCGAAAUUCGAAUCUCUACAACUUUCAUGAAGAGACCAUCACCUACCUAAUUUUAAGUUACCCAAAAUUCCCUUGAGUAUGAUCAUUGUUGUUUUCUCAGAAAUUUUCUGAGUCAUGUUAUUCCUAACAUGUCCCUAACAACUUAAUUAGUCAUAGGUACAUCCUAAGGUCAUUCUAAGGUGCAUGAGUGCAAUGCAUGAUGUGUGAGUGCACAUUUACAAAUUCAUGAAGCAAUUACAUAAUAAGGAUUUAAUCUAUCUUGGAAAAGCUUCUUCGAUAUUCUUCAUGUUGGUCUUGCGACACUUGACACUUUUCUUUCUUCUAUCAAAGCUUCAAGAGGUCCUUGACUUAGGCAUGUUCUUCAUGUCUUGAUGUGACUUCUAUUAUUGAUACUUGACCACGUGGCACUCAACAACUUAUAGUUAAAUUCAUUAUUUGUUUCUUAUCAUCUGAACCAUAUUAGGAGUAUGAGCAUAUCCCCAACAUUGAGGGUAUUUCAAACGCACUUAGUCCAAUAGUAGGAAGUAUUUGGCCAUCGAUAGCUUCCGAGCAUAUUUGGUUGGCGUAGAAAAAAAAAAAAACAAUUCUUAUUAAUAUACAGAAAAAAAAAAAAAAUCCUCAAACAGGCAAUGUAGGGAUGAUUUCCCACACCCUCAUAUUUUGACCAUGUGGGUGCUACACUAACGCCUCUCUCCUCUAUGACCACGCUGUUGGAAAAACAGUUUCCCAUGUCAUAAUUAUUGUGGUGUGAGAGACUCCACCACACGAGCGAUGUGGGAAAUUCUUGCCCUUAAUGUUUAUUUUAUUUUAAACUUAGUUUUCAAUACCAUUCCCAAAAUUGCUAGGAUGUCAUUUAGGAAAUUGGUUUCCAUAAGUGUUUCCCUUCUAAAGACACAUGUCUUGAAGGAAUGUGCUUUCUCCAUCAUUUUCAAAGGACAAGAUCAAUCAUAAUCUACUAUCCUAGAUUUAGUAUCUUUCUUUCUAUAGUUUCUUUUUUUUGGUGGGGUGGUGGGCGAGAUCUUUAGACUAGAUGAGGAACGGGAGGUCUCGAAACCUCCUGGGAGCAUGACUCUGCAUUCUGCACUACCCUCAAGCCAACUGCUAGCAGCUGUAGUAUCUUUCUAUUUAAUGCAUUGCUAUCUUUCUUUUGGCAUUAUACAGUGAAUCUUUUUUUUUUUUCUCUUUGGUAAAUAUAUUGUAAAUUAAUAAAUUUUUGGUGAUGUGUUAAUGAGCUGUCAAUUUCAUUAGUAAAAGCCAUCUGUUAACAGCUGUACCUCUAGCAUCUUUCUAUUUAAUGCAUUGCCGUCUUUGGCCUUAUACAUUGAAUCUACUUUUUUUCUCUUUGGUAAAUAAAUUGUAAAUCAAUUAAUUCGUGGUGAGGUUCAAUGAGCUGUCAAUUUCAUUACUAAGUCUAUUGCCAGAGCACAGUUCCUCAAGCCAGCUGCUAACAGCUGUGCCUCUAGCAUCUUUUUAUUUAAUGAGCUGUCAAUUUCAUUAUUAAAUGUAUUGACAGAGCACUCUUCUUUGUUUAAUUAUAAAAUAGUAUAGAGUUUCAACACUUGUUUCUCUACUAUCCAUUUUUUACUAAGCACCUUGACGGAGUCAUCCAUGGAUGCCCUUCCUUCACCUGCAUCUACUGUCUGUCAAUACUUUAGACUUCAAUGAAAAUUUCUUUCCCAUGAGGUUCCUUUGCUAGCAUGAAUUUACCAGAACAUUGCAAAUGUUUGACAAUAGAGGAGAUGGAAGAUCACUAUUUCCAAAGGCUUGAGACACAUGAAGCAAAAUAUGGAAGGCUAUACUAUCGGAUCAAUGAUUUACCAGAAGAUCAGGGGGAGAUUCAUAUAGAACCAUCAAUCAAAGGGGAGUGGGAAGGAUUAAUUGUGGCAAUGGAAAUAGAUGUGAAUGCUGCAAUGCAAAGCUGCUUCAAGGGAAUUACAGGUUCUGCUCUGUAACCUGCAAGAGCUUUAUCGUCAGCCUAUCAAAUGGAGAUGAUCAGAAUCGCAAUAGCAGUGACAACAUUACACAGACUGACAGUUCCGAAAGACGCAAAGACAAUUAUCUUUCAGCCAUGACUGCGGAUAUGAAAACUAAUCACCUGCCUUCAAGGAAGAGGAAAGAAAAUCCUAAAAGGUCCCCUUUGUUCUGACCCCAUGAAUGGUUUGGCAUGUGCUGCACAAAGAUUAUCUUUAAAGAGACCAAUAAGGUAGACUUCAGCCACUUCCUUCAAACCCAAUACUGCAUGGCGUUGGACACGUAGAUCUCAAUUAAUUUCUUGAUCAGAAGCUCUUUUAGUAUUUGCAAAUUUCAUGGUCAGGAUCAGCUUGAGUGGUAUCUGUGAGGUUUCUUAACUCCUCCAGCGUGGGGACUAACUGGUAGUGAGUAGAUUUGUUGCAACCAAUCCACCUGUGAAUUUUUGAGCCGUUUGUUUGGUUCUAGCCACCUAUACAAGAAGUGGAUCUCCGCUCUGCCAAUCAGAUACCAGUAAAUAAUCUCAGCCUUGAACAUAUCACAUCCAAGAUGGCUCUUGUUCCUUUUCCAAUCUGAUCUCAGGUUAUGGCUCUGUUUGUUUGGUAUAUAAUAGUCAGAGGAACAAAUUUUAUUGGAAAAUCAAAGUUUCCUGGGAUCACCACGGAAGAGCUAAAAGGUUUCACUGGAUAGAUCAUUGCAAAACUUCUGCUGUCUCAUACUAGAGACUUUGUGUAGUACAUCAGAAUCAUUAGGCCUCUGGCUUUAGCUGGAAUUAAUAGUGAAGCCAUCAAUUCCUUUCUGGAGCCCAGGAGAGGCGUCUAUAAUAGCAACAACAACGCUGCACCUAACAACAAAGAACGGGUCGCAUUAACUUGCAGGCUCAUGAACUCCGCUACAAUUUCCCUCAUCUCACUUCAUCUCGACAGGAUAAAAGUGAUGUAGAUCGUUCUCGGCAUUGUCAAGACUCAAGCGCUUCCCCAAGGUCGACCCUUCCAAGGCCAUUUCCUUAUCAGAAGACUUUCUCUGGUCUCCUUUCUAUUGUGUUUCUGAUAUGCUAGCCUGUGUUGGCAUACAAUUGCUCUCUGUAUUUCCACUGUCAACCUCUCUUAUUAAUGUGGAACCUUUGAGAAUUUGAUGUUUUUAGAUUCUUAAAAAUGCUCAUGUUUGUAGAUUGAUUCUUUUCAGUUUCACGACAAGAACUUUAGCAUUACACACAGUUCGACUAAGAAAUCUCUUCUUUUUCUUUAA